Molecule: ribosomal RNA, 228 nt
Filed under: uncultured bacterium
Lineage: Bacteria
Description: partial 16S ribosomal RNA
Rfam family: Bacterial small subunit ribosomal RNA
Source: RNAcentral
UACGAAGGGGGCUAGCGUUGCUCGGAAUCACUGGGCGUAAAGGGUGCGUAGGCGGGUCUUUAAGUCAGGGGUGAAAUCCUGGAGCUCAACUCCAGAACUGCCUUUGAUACUGAAGAUCUUGAGUUCGGGAGAGGUGAGUGGAACUGCGAGUGUAGAGGUGAAAUUCGUAGAUAUUCGCAAGAACACCAGUGGCGAAGGCGGCUCACUGGCCCGAUACUGACGCUGAGG